GUGGGGAAUAUUGGACAAUGGGCGAAAGCCUGAUCCAGCCAUGCCGCGUGUGUGAAGAAGAUCUUCGGAUUGUAAAGCACUUUAAGUUGGGAGGAAGGGCAGUAAGUUAAUACCUUGCUGUUUUGACGUUACCGACAGAAUAAGCACCGGCUAACUUCGUGCCAGCAGCCGCGGUAAUACGAAGGGUGCAAGCGUUAAUCGGAAUUACUGGGCGUAAAGCGCGCGCAGGCGGUUAUAUAAGACAGAUGUGAAAUCCCCGGGCUCAACCUGGGAACUGCAUUAGUGACUGUAUAGCUAGAGUGCGGCAGAGGGGGAUGGAAUUCCGCGUGUAGCAGUGAAAUGCGUAGAUAUAGGAAGGAACACCAGUGGCGAAGGCGACUACCUGGACUGAUACUGACACUGAGGUGCGAAAGCGUGGGGAGCAAACAGGAUUAGAAACCCCUGUAGUCC
This 450-nucleotide ribosomal RNA is filed under the name uncultured bacterium. RNAcentral describes it as "bacterial SSU rRNA". It matches the Rfam family "Bacterial small subunit ribosomal RNA", at positions 354 to 796 of the family's 1533-position model. The record is from RNAcentral.